CAGCCCGCCGCGGUAAUACCGGCAGCUCGAGUGGUGGCCGCUUUUAUUGGGCUUAAAGCGUUCGUAGCUGGGUUGUUAAGUCUCUUGGGAAAUCUGGCGGCUUAACCGUCAGGCGUCUAAGGGAUACUGGCAAUCUUGGAACCGGGAGAGGUGAGGGGUACUUCGGGGGUAGGAGUGAAAUCCUGUAAUCCUCGAGGGACCACCUGUGGCGAAGGCGCCUCACCAGAACGGCUUCGACAGUGAGGGACGAAAGCUGGGGGAGCAAACCGGAUUAGAUACCCGGGUAGUCCCAGCCGUAAACUAUGCGCGUUAGGUGUAUCGGUGACCACGAGUUACCGAGGUGCCGAAGGGAAACCGUGAAACGUGCCGCCUGGGAAGUACGGUCACAAGGCUGAAACUUAAAGGAAUUGGCGGG
This 415-nucleotide ribosomal RNA is filed under the name uncultured archaeon. RNAcentral describes it as "bacterial SSU rRNA". It matches the Rfam family "Archaeal small subunit ribosomal RNA", at positions 459 to 872 of the family's 1478-position model. The record is from RNAcentral.